Molecule: long non-coding RNA, 34998 nt
Filed under: Vitis vinifera (wine grape)
Lineage: Eukaryota; Viridiplantae; Streptophyta; Magnoliopsida; Vitales; Vitaceae
Description: long non-coding RNA (VVIN_LNC001291)
Source: RNAcentral
UUUUUUUUUUUUUGUUUUUAUACCAUAUUCGUUACGUUUGUACUCAUCUUUUGAAAAAUAAACUUAUUUUUUAUAAUGAAUUCAUCUUUUUAAAAGAUGGUUUCCUUUUUUUACUUUAAAUUUUUUUUAUAUUAAAAAUGUCUUUUUAGAGGGUGAGUUUAAUAUUCAUUAUUUUGGUUCUACUUAAUAUUUUAAAAUACGAUAAUUUUAUAAUUAUUUUUUAUGUUAUCAUUUAAAAAAAAAUACACUAAUCAGGUUAGAUUUAGGUUGAAUACCUCAUAUUAGAGUUCAAGUUAGGUUGUGAUUGGGUUGAUUAUUUCUUAAUUCGGGUUAAUCAUCGGUUUGACCAACCUGCAUAAGUUACAACCCUAGGAAAAAUAUAACUAAAACCAUAUUUGAAUCAAUUUCUAAGAAGUCAAAUAAAAAAAUAAAAAAAACACUUAAUUAAGAGUUUAUUUAAUUAAUUUUGUUGAAGGAAAUUAUAAUUUGAAAAAAUAAUUUAGGUGGUGUUUGUUUUUGGCUAAAUAAAAAAAGUCAAAAUAUUUGAUUUUUUCUUUUCGGUUAAAAGUAACUUAUUGACAUUAUCUAAUAUAACUAAAGUAAACUUGCUAUCAGUAGGUUCAGUUUAUUUAUGUUGAUGAUGUCAACAUGUUACUUUUAACUAAAUAAAAAAAAAUCAAAUAUUUUGACUUUUUCUAUUUAGCAAAAAAAAAAAAAAAACACCAUCAUAGUAAAAAAAUUAGAAAAAUAUUUUUUUUAAUAUAUUAAAACUCUAUUUUGAUUUAUGAAAAAAAAAUGUUUAAUAGAACUUAUAAUAUUAAUAUUAUCCUUUAAAAAUUAUGAUUUUAACUUAAGUGGUACUUACUAAAUUUCAAGUGCAGACUGUCGAAUGUAUUUGAUGAUAUAUAAAUUAUUUAACGAUGAUACAAAUAAAUAAAAUGAAGGUAUAAGAUUUUAAAUAAAUACAAUCGCAUACAAAUAAUGUCUCAUGAAGAUAUAUCAUUUUAUUAGUAACGUCUUUUCGAUGCCUAUUAAAAAAGUACACUUUAUAUCGUAGGUAGAUCUUAAAAUAAAAAAUGGCAGGAUUCUAAGUGAAAUAAUUUGUCAUAUAGUUUUAAAUAAGUUUUUUUUCUUUAUAUUUUUCUUCUUCAUAUUUUUCCUUAAAAUCUUUGGAACCAAACAUAACCUAGGGUUUUAUAAUAUUUUGAUAAUUAAUAUCUUAAUAAUAUAAUGCUUUAAAGUAAACCUCAUUCACUCAUUUUCCUACUAUAAUUCAUUAAAAGAACUUUGUUAACUUCUAGGAGACAAAAUCAAAAACCAAAUUUAAGAAGAAAUAAAUGUUAAAUUUAUACCAUCCCCUUUAAAAUUUAUUAUGAUUUUAAGGUUUUUUUUUAAUUAUUUUAUAACAUUUUUUUUUAAUUUAAUUAUCAUCUUUAAAUAUUAUCAUAAAUCAUGUUUAACAUAUCGUAUCAUUUAAUUUUUCAUUACUUUUUUUUAAUGUUUAACAAUUAAAUAUUAUAGAUAGUGAAAAAUGGCUAAUUUGGUUAAAUAUAUCACCCAAAAUGGGGUGACUCGAGUGUUAAAUUUUUUUGCAAAAACAAUAAAUUAAUAGUAAGAUGAGAAAACAAGAAGUUAGGCAAAUGAGAUUGAGAAAAUAAAUAUAUAAAAAAUUUUAUAGUGGUUCGACAAUUUGCUUAUGUCAUCUUUUUCAUGUUCUUAGCCAAAUGAAAGUUCCAUUAUCUAAAUUAAUAGUAAGAUAAGAAAAUGAGAAGUUAGACAACAAUAAAUUAAAAAGAUUGAGAAAAGAAAUAUGCAAAAUCUUUUAUAGUGGUUCAACAAUUCACCUACGUCCGCUUUUGUUAUGUUUCUAAUCGAGUGAAGUUCCACUGUUGAGACUUCAAAUCCAAAUCUUCAAGUUUUAUGAUUAGAUUUAUAAGUUUCAAUGAACACUCACGGUUCCUUCAAAAUCUCCACCUACUUAGAAGUUUUUUCUCUCACAAUUAUUAGAUAAGAAAGAUUUUAAUACUUGAAAUUUCAAAGAUAAAGUUUAACUCAUAAUAUAAAGGGAAAUUAUGAUGAAUUUGAAAGAUGUACUAUUGUUUUUAAAAUUAGAAAAUAGUAUUAAUUUUUAUACGAGAUAUAAGAAUUUUUAUAAAAUUACAUAAAAAUAAUAAUGAUUUAAAAAAAAUUGAUUAUUUCAAGAAUUUGAAGAUAAUUUAUAAAGUUAUAAGACAAAUUUAUAUUUGUAUACAAAAUAUUCUACUUUUGUGAUAUAUCACAUCGGAUAGAGGGAGAAAUUUUUUGACACUAUAUAAAUAGACGCAUUUUAAAAAUUGUGAGAAUUGUAUGGAGUUUAGAGUAAACAAUAUUUACAUGAUUGGAUGUAGAUCAUUACAAAAUAGUAUUAGAAUUGAUCUUUGAUCUAAUGUGAGAGUUUGUUUGACCUUGUAAGAGGUGUUUGUCUCUAAUCUUGUAAACGGCUCGGACUAAAUAAUAUCCGACAGACGGUUGGAUACAAGUUUCAUAAACUAUAUGUAGAUUGUAUAUUGGUGGCCAAGUUAGAUGUCCGCCAAGUUGGUUUUCCUGUUUGUCAAGUCGGUAUUCCGCCAAAGGUGGUUACAACAAUAGCUAAUCAAAAUCCUAAGUCAAAGGUUUUAUCAUUUUUUCUUUUAAGUCAAUAAGUCCUAUAUAUUUUAUACUUUAAUUGCCCAAGUCUUUUUAAAAUUUAAUCAUACUUCAAAAGAAUUUAUAUUUAAUUUCACGAGUCCAAAACUCUACGACAUUUUUUGUAAAAUUAUUAUUACCAAAUUCGAAUGAAAACACGGUCAAAUAAAUAUACUUUAUGUUUUUAAAAUAAAAAAAAUAAUAGUAGCUUUUAUAGAAAGUAUAAACAUUCUUGUAAUUUACAUUAAAAAAUAUUUAAAAUAUUUUCAUUUCAAAAAAUAAAAAAUGAAAAUAUAUUUAAAUAAAAACUUUUUUUAAUUACAAAUUAUUAAAAAUAAUAAGGUUUUUUAAUUUUUGUAAAACAAAAUUUUGGUUGAAAACUUAAAAUAUUUUUAUCAUGUUUAUAAUAUUUUAAAAAAUAAUUUUUAUAUCCAAUAUUUUUUACUUUUAAUCAUUCCUUAAAACAAUUUUUUAAAAACAAGAAAACAACUAAAAAAUAUUUUCUAAAAACGAUAUAUUUCUUAUUAUUAAGAAGCCGAAACAAAAAAUAAUUUUUAGUUGUCAAAUAUAUUUUCUAUAUUUUUCGUUUCAGAUAAUAAAAUUCUCAAAAACAAUUUCUAAACAUUUCGUAAUUUUUGUUACAUUUGAUAUCUAUUGGUUGCAUUUAAUCUCUAUAACCCCAAUAUUUUUCUUCAGUUGUGCUACUAAUGGCUGCCACGUGGGACAUCCCCCAAGUUGGUUUUCCAAUUUGCCAAGUCGGUAAUUGUGCGAAAGGUGAUUAUCACAAUACUUAAUCAGAAGUCAAAGCUUUUAUCAUUUUCAGUCUUAAGUCCUAUUUUUUAUGUCUUAAUUACCGAAAGUCCUUCUAAAUUCAAUCAUACUUCAGAAACAUUUAUAUUUAAUUUAAGAGUCCACAACUCCAUAUCAUUUCCAAGUUGUUAUCGACGGAUAGGUUUGACAUGACAUCUGCCAAUGAAUGAAUUGAAAUUUAAAAACCCCUUGGGCCUAUUCCACGUAUUGAGGAGCGUGGGCUUGAGAUGGAUCCAGUGGCACAAGGCCCAUACUACUCUUACCUUGGUGGCUGAAAUUUUAGGAAGCUUGUAGAAAGAAAAGAAAGAAAGUUUGUUGAAAGAAGAAUAGGAUUAGAAGCUUUAUUUGACAUCUAAAAGCUAAUGCAGUAGAUGAUAUAAAAGGUAAAAAAAAGAAAUACGAGUAUAAAAUAGAUAUUAAGAUUUGGAAAAUCUUAGGGUACUCUUCAGUAGUUACUGAAAAAGUUUUUCAAGCUAGGGAUAUCCAAGAUUAUAUUUUGACCAUCCAUUUUAAAUUUGAAAUAAAAAUUCCAUUUAAUCAGUUAAAGGAAGAACCGAAGAAGCAAUUGUGACAUUUUUUCUUCCUCAAUUCUUAACAAUUUUGAGUUUAAAUAAAAUAAAUAUUAGAUAAAAAUAGAAUUAGAAAAAAAUAAAAAUAAAAAUGAUAUAAAAUUUAAAAACAUAUUUAUUAACAAAAAAAACAUAAUCAUAUAUCAUAAUUAUAUUAUUUUAUUUUUAAAUAAUUAUUAAAUAUUUAAAUUCAACAAAAAAGUGAAUAUGGUAAUAUUUUAAUAAGAUAUUAAGUAGACAUGCAAAAAAGCAAUCGAAUCUCUAAGAAAGCUUUUAGAGAGAGAGAAGGGUAGAAUUAAAGGUAAUAAAAAAGUAUAUAUUAAAUUAGGGAACCAAUACUUAUAGGAAGCAAAGUGAAGAAAAUUCUGAUAUGUUUAAAGCAAAGCAUUGACAAUACUCAUUUGCGAUAAGGAUAAGGAUAGGAGCCCGCCGGGGGUGGGUGAGAGAGAUGCAGAAUGAUAAAGAGGCAGACAGUUCAAAGCUCCUCGUCUCCACCUCGCCCUCCUAUAUUUUCUUUAGCAGCUUCAAUUCUCUCCUUGGCUUUCUCCAGCGUCUCCCCUGCUUUGGCUUUGCCUGCAUCGAAACUCUCCUUCGCUUUCUCCUUAGCCCAGCUCACACUCUCCUCGGCCUUUGCUCCCUUCUCCUUGGCUGCUUCCUUGGCUUCUUCUGUCUUGUGAUACGCCUUCUCCUUUGCCUCCUCCGCCUUCUGAGCCGCCUUCUCUUUUACCUCCCUAGCCUUCUCCGCUACCUUCUCUUUUGCCUCUGCCGCCUUCUCUGUCACGCCACCCGCCUUCUCCUUUGCUUCGCCCACUUUCUGGGAGGCAGUUUCCUUGGCCUCUGCAGCCUUCUCCUUUGCUUCACACGCCUUCUGGGAAGCUGCUCCCUUGGUCUCUUCGGUCUUCUCUUUCAAUACCUUCUUCGCCUCAUCUGCCUUCUCUGCACUGUAUUGCCCAGCUCCUGCAUAACCACCAAUUAACUUAACUGCUAUUAUAAUCAAUCUUAUUGGAUACAAUGCAGGGCAUAAUCCAUUAGAAAGCAAGUCAAUGAAUUGUAUGAUAUACUAGUAUUACUAACCAGAAGCGGCUUCCUCAGCAGUGUCUUGGCUUUUGUCGGCAGUCUCUGUUGCGGAAUCAGAUGCUUGCUUUUCUUGCUUGAGUCUCAAGUUUUGUGAGAUUUUGUCUUUAGCCCACUCCGCCCACGACUCUGAGGCUUCUUUGGCCUCCUCCUCUGCCUCUGCCGCCUUCUCCUGAGCCUUCUCCACCUGGCCCUUGACCUCCUCUGUAACAUGGGAGCAACUGCAGCCCCUGGUAAGCACCACUACAACCAUCACCACCAGAACAAGGGCCAUCACCCGUCUGGAGGAGGACUCACAAGGUUUCCGUGAGCUGAAGGAAGCCAUGAAAAUCCAAUAAUAUGAGCUCCUCGGAUCAAAACUAAAUCAAAAGAGAAGGAUCCUUUCCUUCAAACUAUCACAGCAAACAAGAAGUAACCACGCAGUUCAGGAAUGAUGUUCCCAGCUGUUUGAAGCAAUGCACACAGACAUGUGUUUGUAAGUAUAUAUAUAGAGAGAGACAGAGAGAGAGUGGGAAGGUUCGGAAGAAAAUGGCAGGUGUCAGGCGACGUGGCGACUGUAGGAGGGUAGUGGAUACAUGAGCUGGCCAUGUGUCUUCUUAGGAUGUCCAAAGUGUCAACUUCGUAGUAAUGCCACGCAUGCUUUGGUGUUUGACUGAUGUGGCACGUGUCACGUCCACACUCAUGCACCAACCCAACCCAAUCUAUUGAAGUUAGUAAUUUACAUACCUAUAUUCUUAAUUAAUUCACCUUCACCAAAACUGCACUCUGCUCCGCCGCUCCUCUGAUGCAUCAUUUGAACACUUAAACUGAUUUUAUGAGCAUCAGGAGCAAAAGGACAAAUUUGUAUGUGUUGGGUACAAUUGGUGUCAGUCGGCCAUAGGCCAUAGUCUUUUUGAUAUCCACUGCCCUCGUUGAUGGUUGAAAGUUUGGGUAACAAGUAACAGCCAUAAUACAACAUUAGCAAAAAAAAAAAAGGCAAUAUAUUCAACAGAAAGUGGGUACCAAAUUUCAUGUAAAACUGUUACAUUGAAUUAAUAAUCAUAGUAAUAAGAAUAAAUUGCACUCAUUACAUUUGGGAGUUCUUUGCAGUUCAUGGACUUCAUAUUCAAGUACAUCAUAGUAAUAAGAAUAAAUUGUACACUGCCCAGCAGUAAGCCAGCAGGCAGCAGCUAGAAAAUUUAGGGGUUGCUGAAAGACAGACUGGUAAUAGCAGUCUUCAUUGGAUCCAGUUUCCGGGCUGUUGAUUGACUUUGAUGAUCAGAAACAAAAGACUGGACAAUGAAUUAAAGAAAUUGUGAGAAAUAAGAGGCAUACAUAAUUGUGUUUCCCAAGUAUGCUUAGUUCAUUAAUUACGGUUUUGUGGAAUUUAACUUUUAUAUAAUCAUCUUAGUCAAUAUUUCAGCUCUCAUGUAUACUCUCAAAUGUUAGAUCAGUUCAAAAGGUUUGUCAAAAUGGUUUCCACCCUAAACAGAUGCCUUGCAACUAUUUGAAACUUGUAGGUUGUAAAAAAUUCUCCCCUUCAACAAGCCUGAGAUAUUCAACAACCAGUCUUGCUUGCCGUAAAGCAGAGAACAGGGAAAAGAUACCACAGCUUCUCAAAACAAUAUUCAAGUAUAGCGACUGCCUGUAGGCAUUGCCACAACCAGAGUAUCUUCUCCCAUUAUGAAACUAAACUCCAAAUUUAUCCAUCUGCUUGGGGGAAGUUCAAAUAAGCAUUGGUCAUUACCUUAGCAGAGUCCACAUAACUUCUUCCAACCAUAUUAUGAGUAGAAAAAGUGAAUGCAAAACUAAACUGAACAUGUUGAAUCCCUAAACAAUAGGAGAUGAAGGUAACAAGAGGUUUGAGAUUUUGAAAAGUAGGGUGGGGGGCUUCCCCUCUUUCUAUCUUGGCAUGCAGUUCUGAUCCUUGUCCAAAGCUGAGGAGAUUAAGGAUUUGGUGGGGAGGAAACCUGAGAGGAGAUUAGCAGUUGGAAAAAGCAAUGACUUAUACAAGAGGAAACUAACUCUCAUUUUAUUUUCCUUCUGAUGUUUUAUACAAAGAAUGAGACAAACUCUCACUAAAGAUACAACAUUGAACAUCCCUGCAUAUUUCAUGUAGUUUUUUCACCAUUCAUCCUUGGUGAGGGAGUGCUUGGGGAGGAAGAAAAUAUGGUUUAGUCAUUCCCCAUUAAGUGCAGGACCGCAGGUUAGUUGGAAAUCAAGAUGUUGGGUUUGUCUACUGGGUCUUGUCAGGAAAUGGCCGUGAAGGCUCACUGUUGAAAAGGAUUAGCCUAUGGAGACAGAUAGUGGCCGAGACAUGUACGAAGAAAAGACUUGACAGUUGGUCCACUAGGAGAGUGUGAAUUUUCAUGGUGUGAGAUUAUGGAUGGUAUUUAAGGAACAAGGGAAAUUCUAACUUGUGACUAUUGAAAGAGAAAAUGGUCUAAAGAUACAUUUUUCUGGAAAAUUCUGUGGAGUGGAAGGGGUGGACAUUGAGAAUGAGAUAGAAGGACUAGGAUCCACUGACGGCAAGUUGCUUAAGGUGCAACGACGAGGGACGACAGUUGGCAUUUUCCAGCCUGUGAGGAAUUUUUCAAGAUCAGGAGGUAGCAAUGAUGACAGCUUUCUUGGAAAAGAUUUAUGGGGUUUGAGGGAAGGAGGGUUUUCAUUAGGGGAACGUGGGAGGUUUCCAGAAGAGGAGUUCUUGGUUAAUUCUUGUACGGAACUUUUCUCAGGGUGAAGACAAGCAAUUUCCAAGGAAAUUGGGGUUAUCAAGAACUUACAGAAGUGGAUACUUUAAGCAGACAACCAUGAAGGAAACCAUAUUAACUAUGGAUAAGUCAGUAAAGAGGGGAAACAUCUCCCAAAUUGGUUUGCAUGCGUAAGGUUGAAAGGGGAUGGGGAAAGUUCUCAUUCAUUAAAACAUUGCAACAGAGCUUGAUGACCUUGAUGUUUCAUUUGUUUGGGGCAUGCUGGGAGAUAUCCUAAUUCAGGAAAAGGGCUUCUCCUAUGAUGAAGGGGACACAUUCCAGAUGAUAAUGGUGAUAAACUCUAAAAAAAAACAUGAAACACCACUUUUGCUCUUGUAAAUUAGUGAGCACAAGACAAAUUUAUACAUGCACAUACAUGCUUCUGCACGCUACCUCAUUAACAAAUAUAUCAACUAUAAAAGGAAAUUUCACAGCAAAAUUACAAGGCAGAGCUAACUAAAUACCGUUGCAUUUACUUGCAUCUGGACUGGAUAGCUUAUACGAGCAAAGGGGAUAAUCUGAAGCGUCUUAGGCUCCCAAGCACAAACCUACACUGGCCAAAAUUGCCUAAAAAACAUGAGGCGGAGAGCAAUGCUGAGUAUACCACUUACAAUAUCCUAAAAUAUGCACUAGAAAUCUUUGCAUGUCUUCUUAUUGUGGCCAAGGCCCUUGCACUUGCUGCAUUGGAGUUGGCGUUUAAUUGUUUCUACUGAUCCAGCCUGCUUCAUCUUUGGCCGGCCUGGUGGACGUUUAGUAGGUGGAGGAGUCACGAUAAUUCCCACCUGAGUAGACUCAGUCUUCACUGGUCUGUCUACAUUUGGAACAGGGUGAAUUGAUUCUGCAUACGUUAAGCGGUAACUCUCAACUGUGAAGUAUCUUGAGCAAUAGUCAUAUGGGUUCCUACCAAUCCAUUCAAAGACAGCAAUAGCAUGGCAGCAAGGCAACCCACUGAGCUGCCAAUCUUUGCAGGAACAGUCCCAAUGAUCAAUAUCAACAAUAUCAAUAGAUUCCCCACGAACCUCAAAUGUGCUACCAUGCGAGAGUAACACUUGAAGCGAUCGUGCUGUGGAAGUAUCCUUUAGGAGUUUUUCCUCCUUAGAUGGUGUUAGCUUUGUUAUCCAUUGACUGGAAUCCACCCGACGUUUAUAGAUCAAUUCCAUCAUCUUACCUCGUAACACAUCAACCAUCUGUGUUAUGGGCAAGUCAUUUGCCUCAGAUACCCAAUUGUAGAACAGUUGUCCAAAGUUUGAUGCCAUGUGGCUAUACCUUGCUCCUCCAAAGAAUGCAUUAGACCAAUGGUCUGGCUCGCUCUGUAUGACCCAAUUGUAAGCUUCAGGUGAAAUGCCUUUUAUGUUUUCAGUACAACGCUGGAAAGUUUCAAGUCUGGAAGCAUAAGCAGCAGCAUAAAAAUCAUUAAUCAUGAAACGUCUUGCUUCAUGAGAAAACUGCCCCUUCAAGUCUUUGUUUAAUUUCUCAGUUAAAUAGCGAAGACAAUAGCUGUGGUAGCCAUUGUCAAAUAUCUCAGCCAAAGACUUCUUUAAACCCUUUUGAAAAUCUGCAACAAAGGUAAUUGGUCGAGCUGUUGACACUGCAGAUUUCAGUUCCAGCAGAAACCAACUCCAGUUGUCAUCAGUCUCAGCAUCAACUACGGCAAAUGCCACUGGAAAUACACCAUCAUCCCCAUCUGCAGCUGUUGCAGUCAACAACAUCCCUUGGUAUUUUGAGUUUAAAGGAGUGCUAUCAAGGAAAAGGAGAGGGCGGCAACCCUGCUGGAAACCAGAUAUUGCAGCAUGGAAAGAGAUAAAGAGACGAUGGAAGCUUGAAUCCUCCUUGGUCUCAAAUGUAGCAAAACUACCGGGAUUAGUCUCCUUUAUCUUCUCACAGAAAAAGGGUAAUUGACUAUAAGCCUCUUUAUAUGAGCCCUGAAGCUGCUCCCUAGCAAUCUCUUUUGCACGCCAUGCUUGUGAAUAGUUCAGUUGAAUCCCAUACUCUCGUUUGAUAUCAUCUGCAAUAUCUUUUGGCUUGUAAUUUGGGGAGACUUUCAACUUCUCCUUUAUGAUAGUUCCCACCCAACCCCUUGUAGCCCGAUACCCAGCUUUCACAAUGGCACCUUCACAUGUGUGUGUUGUAUGCAUUUUCUUAAUACAAAUUAACUGGGUUGUGGACAAUCUAGAUGCAUAUAUCCUCCAUGGGCAACCUUGCGAUUUGCAUUUUACAGUCACACGAUGACUGUCAUUUUUCUUAUAUUUGUAAGCGAAACCAUGUGCAAUUGAGUAUUUAUGCAAUGCUUCUCGAAAUUCAUUAAAACUAUUAAACCUUUGGUCUACGCCAGUGAUAGUGUUCUCCCACUGUUGAGCAGCUUUUUGAUGCUUGUCAUCAUUGGAAAUAACAGGAGCAUUAUCUGAAUGGGUAUAAUUAGCCAUGUCCAUAUCAACCUUAUCGAUGGCAUGGGUCAUGUCGACAACAGCAUCCACAGGGGCAACUGCAGGAACCACUGCUUCAGAUACAGUUGUCCUGCUUGACCUGCAUGAUCAAGCAUACACAAUAUUUUAACCAACAUACAAACAGCAACUCAUCCUCCACAAUAACAGUUUUGAAGUUCAAUUUGUUCCCCAAAUCACCGUGCAUCACACCAGGAUCCAGACAGAAACCUCACCAUUGUGCUAAAAAAAUCAGGGGAUUCUAGUCUGAAAAAUGAUGUGAGCACAAUCCUUGGUGCCCACAUUGCAACUCACUGCAACUGGGCACCAAACUGAACCCUGAAAGUAAGCAUCCUGAACAACAUGAGCCUGAGAAGAAUUAAACAAAAUUAAAAAUGGACACACCAAUAACUACCUACUAGCAGGCAUGAUGGAUUGGUUCCGAGGAACAGCUUCCUCUGUCAUGAUGAAUAUAUCAACCGUGACAGAAUCCCCCAGGAAUUUCACCAUGCGCUUUAGGUCCUUAUCUUUAGAGAUUGUGAUGAGAGUCUUCUUGUUAUCAGGAAGGAAGUACUUGAUAGACAUGGUAUCAAUACUACAAUUAAACAUUUCCGCCACUUCCAGCUUAAAAUCACUCAACUGCGUUUGCUGAUCAACAUCAAUUGCAUAUGCCUCUCCCCCAUUAUACGAUAAUGAACCAUCCUUGUUCGUCACAAACUCUCCUCCUGACUGACAUAUAGCUAUAACUUUCUUUGCGGCCAUGCCCUACCAAAUGAAAACCAGUAUAAAUAAAAUCGCAAAACACAAAUUCAUAUGAAACGAAUUCUACAAAAAUCCUCUGGCGCCAACACUCCAACAUCUUAAAGUCUAAACCUUUUCGCAAAUCGAAAAAGAAAGAAUUCUAAAAUCGAAUCAUAUCAACAAAUUACGAAGGUCGACAAUGAAAUAAAUCGGGAACCCUAAUUUGUGAGGGAAGAAGAAACAAAGCCAUACCUUUUCAAAUCCAAGACCGGGGAGAGACCUUCUCUCUGUGGUCGACGGUGUCCGCCGGUGGCCGGAGGGAUAGGGAGAGCGAGAGGUGCUUCCGCACGCACGCACAGACCAGAUCAAACUCAACCGUCUCUGUUGUUAUGCGUUCCGAUUCUUAUCCAGUCACUCCCGGUGUAACUUAGUUAAAUUAUGUCCGCGUCUCUAAGCCGUUGACUUCAUCGACAACCUACUUGAUGAGGAUUUGACCCCACUUGAUUAAUCAGGUGCUCUAAGGUUCAUGUAGAUGAUUCCUGUCAGCUUCCAAUUAAAAUCAUGCCAUCCGUGAUCUAAAAAAAUAAAAAAUAAAAAAAAAUCUCCUAAGAUGAUGCUACAGGCUUUGUUUAGAUUUGGGGAUGGAUUAUUUAUUUAAUUAAUUAUGAAAAAAAAAAUCAUAUUUAAAAUAAUACUUACUUUUGAUUUUUUUGACUUUUUGGUAUGUCAAAAAUUCUAUUUUAAUUUCCAUAAAAAUUUCUUCAACUUUAAUGAAGGUUAUUACCUUAAAAAAGGUUAUUGAUUAAAAGGGUUUGUGAAAGCCCAAUUUUUUAAAUUUAACUCUCUGUAAUUUUAUUUUUUUUGUCUCAUUUGGAUAAAAAUACUCUUAUUAUCUUAUUGUAAAAAUAAUAUUUUCUUUAAAACCUACCUAUAAAUACUUGAAAUGAUAAAUGAUAUUUAUAUAUAUAAAAAAAAGUUAUUUUUUAAGUAAAAAUAUGGGAAGAGUUAAAUUCAUAAUUGCUUUUUGCCCGAUGACAAAUAUAUAAAUUGGUUUGCACUUGAAUUUCAGUGAUGAGGUUGGUCGUAGAUCUUAAGUAGACUGAUCAAUAAACUUAAUGGACGUAGGGAGGGAAAAUAGGGCUACUAAAUAUUUUUAAAAAAAUUUGGCUUCCUCGUAAGCUUUAAUUUCUAACAAAAGGCUACAAUAGAGAUAUUUCAUGAAUUCUUGAUAACUAAUUUUAGUUAAAGUUUCAAUGCAUUAUAUUUCUUGUCGUAGUAUUAAAUUAAUAUUUUUAUUAAAAAUAUCAAAAUCCUUCGUUCAAGGUAAAAUCAUGGUGGUUAGUCCCAUCCUUUUAAGUUGUUAAAAAGUUCAUCGUGAAUAAAGAUAAUUGUUGAAGUCAUACAUCCAAAUUUUUAGAAUUUGUAUGAUACUAAUUGAAGAUCAGAUGAUUUAGAGAGAUAUCGUAAUUUAUAAAUUUUUUUUUUCAAGUAUUAGAAGGGUUAUGUAAUUAUUAUUUGAUCACAAAAUUAUCAAAGAAAAAAUUAUUAAUAAGCUAGAUUAAUUAAUUUAUAUUGAUAAUUUUGUUUUAAACAUUAAUAGUUCAUUUUAUGUACUUCUUUACAUUAUUAAAAAAAAGCACACAUACCCUAAAUUACUAUUUAAUUGUUUUUUCAAAUGUUAUUAAUAAUUUCAAUAUCCAAAUUCAUUAUUCAAGGUAGAGUCGUUGUGGUUGAUCACAUCUCCUCAAGCAAUUGAGAAAUUCAUAAAGAAGCACUUGAUGUUGUAUGGUUGAAGUAAGGAAAUAUUAAUGAAUUUAUUCAAUAAUCAAUUAGGCCAAUUGUUUUUUAACAUUUACGGAUUUUAUGGUAAAUCUUAUAAGUGGUUUUUCAUAUACACCAAAUGUCUUGUGUGGUAUUGGAUAUUUAUAAUUUUUUUAAUUUAUUAAGAAAUGUAUUUUUUUGAAAACUUUGUUUAGUUUUUAUCUAAUAAAUAAAUAAAUAAAUAGCAAAAUAUUUUAUUAUUUUCUUUGAUAUUCUUUUCAUAUAUUUUUUUCCCUUGACGUUCAAAUAUUUAAAAAAAAAAUUAAUAAUUUUCAUAUUUCUUGAAUACUUUUCAAGAAUCAAAUAUUUACUUAAGAAAAGACUCCUGCUGAUUACACAUGUAAGGUGUAAUGGUAACAAUAACUAAUAAAAAAUUUAGUUAUUUUAUUCUUAACAUGAAAAAGUUAGCAUAAUAUUUCAUAAAAUUAUUUAUGUAUUAGGGUGCAAUAAUGUGGCUCUUAAAUCCGAGGAUGGAUUACCCAAAUGAUGACUCUUAGAAUAGGUUUGUGGGGUUUAAUGUCGAAUGUCAUCAAAUGUUUGACCUACCCUCACUAACUACCAAUUGGUUUUUAAAUGAAAUGAUAAAAAACUUGAUCCAAUAAUUAAUAUCAGAGUCAAAGUCGGGGUUAGGGUUUGAUAUUGUUAUUUUCUCUAUUAUUUUCUUUGGUAUUCUUUUCAUAUAUUUUUUUUCCUUGACGUUCAAAUAUUAAAAAAAAUAAUAAUAAUUUUCAUAUUUCUUUAAUACUUUUCAAGAAUCAAAUAUUUACUUAAGAAAAGACUCCUAAAGAUUACACAUGUAAUAUGUAAUGCUAAAAGUAACUACUUAUAAAAAUUUUAGUUAUUUUAUUCUUAACAUGAAAAAGUUAGCAUAAUAUUUCAUAAAAUUAUUUAUGUGUUAGGGUGCUAUAAUAUCGCUUUUAAAUAUGAGGAUGGGUCACUUGAAUAAUGACUCUUAGAAUAGGCCUACUAUUGAAUGUCAUAAAAGACUUGACUUACCCUCACUAACCACCAAUUGGUUUUUAAAUGAAAUUAUCAAAACCUAAUCCAAGAAUUAGUAUCAAAGUCAGACUCGGGUUAGGGUUUUGAGUCAUAGGAGCGUCAUGUUGAGGUGCAAUAAUGUCACUCUUAAGUCCAGGGAUGGGUUACCCAAUUGAUGGGUUUUAAAAUAAGCAUUCGAGAAGUGAUGUCGAAUGUCAUAAAAGAUUUGACUUACCCUUACUAACCACCAAUUGGUUUUUAAAUAAGAUGGUCAAAACCCGAUCAAGAACAUUCAAUCAAACUUACAUGUGAAAAUAAUAUGUUUCAUAUGUUAUUUUCAUGUAGUAUAACAAUAGGAAUAAAAUACCUUUGAUAAUUCGAUUAUCAAUUUUUCCUUUUGAAGAAUAGGAGUAUGAAAACUUGACUAGAAAGAAUUUUAAUACCGAAGUAGUUAUAUUCCCCAAAAUCAUUAUAAUGAAUUUUCAUACCAAUAAAAAUCAAUUUGUUUUCGGAUUAGAAUUAGACUAUAUUACAAUAAAUUUUUAUUUGUGGUCAAUUUUGAUAUAAUAAUAAAUUUGAAUUUUUCGAAUGAUCAAGUGGAAUAAUUCUAAUUAUAAAUUAAUUUAAUAGGAAAUUAGUUAUGUUUAAGAAAAUUAUGAUAAUGAAAUAUCGUAUGAAAAAAAAAAAAUUACUAGUAGAUGUGUGAUGAAAAUAUUGAGAGACACUCAAAACGCAGCGUUUUGGGGAUCUGCAGUCUGACCCAAAACGCAGCGUUUUGGAAAGUGUUAUCCCCAAAGCGGAAAACAGAAGCGAGGGAAACAGAGAAAUGAGUUACGGCGUGGUGGGAGGCCUCGCUGCUCCUCCUCUGAAUGUAAAUGCAAAUUCAUCUCUCUCUUCCUGCGUAUGCUUCUGGGUUGUCUCUCCUUUCUCUUUCUAUGUCUUUCUCUCUCUCUCUAAUGAUAAUGAUAGCGAUGUUGUUGCGGCUGAUUUUUGUAAUUUUUAGCAGAGUCUGAGUGAUGGGGGUGGUGGAAGUGGGGGUGGCGGCGGCGGCGGCGGCGAUUCCAUCCACUUGGGUAAUACCAGUGCGAGUGGUUAUAAAUGGCGUUUGGUUAUAGCGUAUGAAGGCACCCGUUAUUCAGGUUGGGUCUUCACUUUAGCUUUAGAUUUUUUCACAUUUUCGUUGAAGUGAAGAAGAUCUUUUAUUCAUGAUCAUAUAUACGUAAUAUCAUGUUUGGGAACUCUGUGAUUCUGAUUUCUGUUUGUUUCCAUUAGUCUACGCUCAUAUAUUUAGUCUUUAGUUCAAGACAACUCCCUAAAGAGAAGCAAAUGGCAUCCUUUUUUUUGGGGGGCAAUCUCAAUCUCACCAUUCUCAGGCAUUGCUCUUUGAAACUUAAUAUCUGAUGCUACCUGCAUCCUUGGGUAACCGAUUUAUUAUUCUUUGUGUGUGAAUUUUGGGGAAGUGGGUCUAAAACACCAAUCUGUGUUUAGUAUUAUGCAAGGAAAUGUAAAUUUCAGAAUUGGUCCAAGGGAAUUGGGUAUUUCUUGUGUUUGAAACCCCCAAUGAACUUAAAUCUUUGGUGAAAAAAUCAUCCUCAUGGUACCAAAGUUGCUUUGUAUUUUGCGGGAGAACAGACUGGUUGUGUUCAUGCCUUGGGUUCCAGUUUGGGUUCUGCACAACUCCGUUGUUAUUGUGACCUCUGUUAAGGUUCUUCUGUUGCCAUUACUCAAGUAUCUGGGCAUUAUGGGGGUGAGCAACCUGAGUAUUUUUGCAUCCUUUGUGUUCUCUUUUCUUGUUUAGUUGUUCAUCCAUUUUCUAUUCAAGCUUCACUUUUAUCCAGCAAUGAUGCAAUUCACUUUGCAAUCUCUGCUUUCAAUAUGUAAAUUUCUAUUGGGAAAAAUACUUACUUUUAAUAAUUGAUUGACAAGGAAGUUGUAAGCAAGGUACAGAAGUAAUUUUUAUUUAUUUAUUUUAUUUUUAGAAAAUUGGACUUAGUUGUAACUAAGGUACAGGACUUAGUCAAUUGAACAUCUCUCAGAUUGCAACAUGUCAAUUUUGGAAAUUUAGUCAAUAUGUGGUGCGGUAGAGCAUAAAAUGGCAUGCAGUGGCAGUGACAGUUAAGGAAGUGGUGGUGGCGCCCGCAUUUUUAGUGAUGGCUGCAGGGGCUGUAGAAUUUUGGAGGAGGUAUGGUUUGUUGGUCAGGGUGAUGAUGGCAACGACAUUAGGGGUGGUGGAACUGGUGGCAAUGGCGGUGAUAGCAGUGGUGGUAUUGUUGCCAAGGUGGCAGAAGUUGUGGCAGCAUUGGCAAUUGAAGCAAUAGCAACCGCUUUCGAUUGUGGUGGUGAGAGUAGCAGUGGCCAGGUUGGAAGUAGAGGUGAAGGUCACAUUGCUAGAAGAGGUGAUGAAAAGCAAAGAUCAAAACCAUGUCACAUGGGAUUUACAAGUCUCAACUAGAAGGAAUAAUUUUGGACAUCCUCAAUUUGUAAGGAUCUCUAAGUCAGAGAAUGAGAAACCCUGUGGUUUUAGCAGGAAGAACAUUAGAUCUUGAUAAACUCUCAGGAUUUCAAAAUCCACACCUUCUUGUAAAUAAAUAGGCUCUCCAAAAAGUUGGGGAAUUUUGUAACACAGCAUAGCCAUUGCUUUCUUCAUGCCGUUUAUCUUUUUGGCAAGCCAACUUUCUUAGGUCUUCAUGUUUCAAAUAUGGGCAUAAUUUUAAGAUCUCCCAAGACUUUAAGCUUAUUUUGUCAUCACGAUCAUUGUCUUAACCUCAUGAUACUAUUUGUUCCAGGUUGGCAAUAUCAGCAGUCACCGCCAACCAUACAGUGCAUUGUGGAAAAAGCAUUAACCAGAGCGACAAAGCUAGAAAGGGAGGACCUGUACUUGGUAGGUGCAAGUAGAACAGAUACAGGAGUCCAUGCCUGGGGUCAGGUCUGAUUUUCUUACUCUUGUGAGGAUUGAGAAAGGAUAUCCUCCAACGACCAAACAAACUUACCAGUUACAAUCAGUUAAGCUUUCAGGUGGCACACUUUCUUACUCCUUUCAACUAUGAUGGCUUGGAAAGCAUCCAUGCAGCCCUAAAUGGUCUUCUUCCUCCUGAUAUCCGAGUUAGAGAGAUUAGCCCAGCAGUACCUGAAUUCCAUGCCCGUUUUUCAGUGAAGAGCAAGAUUUAUCAUUAUAAGAUAUAUAAUGACGCUGUCAUGGAUCCUUUUCUGCGUCAUUAUGUGUAUCAUAGUGUAUAUAAACUCAAUACUCUUGCCAUGAGGGAGGCUGCAAAGCAUUUCACUGGAAAGCAUGAUUUCUCUGCUUUUGUCAAUGCAUCACAUAAUGAUCGGUCACCAAACCCAGUUAAGAAUAUUUUCCGGUUCGAUGUCAAUGAAAUGGUAAUUGCAAGCUUCAGAAGAAUGACACUUUAAAAGAACUGUUAUUUCGUAUGGUAGUCUGAGAGAUUCAGUUGUAUCUGUUUUAACCUUCUUUCAUUUCUAUGUAGAUGUUUUUGGAACUGAUAGUUAAUUGUAUUAUCGCCCAGGGUGCUCUUUUGCAGCUUGAAGUUGAAGGUUCGGGUUUUUUGUAUCGACAAGUGAGGAAUAUGGUAAAUCAUUCUGUUCUUUCUGUAUAUGAUCCAUGUUCAGAAACUCUGUCUAUUUCACCAGUUUAUAGCCAACCACAUUUGCUUCAUGGUGGUUACUGUCUUCACAAUGGAUCUUUGACAGGAAAAAGCAUUUGUCUGAUUUCAUCUUUGCAGGUUGCUCUGUUGCUUCAAAUAGGAAGGGAAGCAAUUCCUCCUAAUAUUGUUCCCUGGAUUUUAGCCACUCGAGAUCGAAAGGAGCUUGCUAAAUACGCAUUGUCUGCACCACCCCAUGGACUCUGCCUCAUGAGUGUCAAGUAUAAUGAAGAGCACCUACAGCUUCCUUCAGGUUGUCCAGCCACUAGUCAUGGCAGGCAUCAUACUGUACGCAAAUGUAAGCUUCCAUUCUAUUGAUAAAUUUUGAAUUGUACCAGAAAGAAGAGGAAAUUCAAGAAAUUUAUAUCAAAUCAUUCAAGUUCAAUAUUCUUGGCACUUGUGUAGAAAGUCUCAACCAGGCUCCCCAACACUCAAGGGCAUGGAGUUCUCAGAUCAGUUUAGAGAAAAAUUCUAUGAACAUGAACCAAAAUUUUUAGUUGAUGCAUUUAAUUGUAAUUCCCUGAUGUAUUUAACAUACAUGCAUUUAAUCACUGUUCAAUCAACUUGCAGUCUAAGAGUGUUUACUUCUGCAAUGCCUGAGCAAAUUACAACCUUAAGAGUUUAAAGCCAGUUCACCAGGCAGAGUAGUUUUUGACAUUUCUCACAGUGAUGGAUCUUCCUAAAAUAGUCAUGUAAAGAAGAUGAUACAGGGGAAAAAUAUUUAUAUCUCAAAAAAUCUAAGCUCUACCAUGAAUUCCUCGUGCUUAGGGGAAUACCAGGCAAUGGCUUUUGCUGAACCGAGGACUUGCAAUGCAUAUUCAAUGGCAAAUACUGGUUCAUCCACAUCUAUAUGCCACUCUCUAUUUUUCAAAUUGACAGCAACUCCUGAAUCAAUUCUGAAGCUGAAAGGUCCAACAAUCUGCAAUAAGUAUAUGGUAAAGGUUACAACUGGUUCCUCAGCAAAAUGAUAUAUAGGUGAACAAAGAAUUGAAGAUUUCCCAAAUUUCCUUCUGAACUUGGGCAAAAGAAGGCAAACAAAAAAUUGUCAAAAUCUUAGAACAUCAAAUGCUGCCCAAUCAGAAAAAUUUGGUCAAAUUUUUUGAGAAAGAUACACCUGACACUAGUUAAUUCCUCUUUUCUAGAUUCUUGAAAACUAUCGAGAAAUAUUGUUCAAACAUAAUUAAUUCUAAAAUUUGGUCCCACAUUAACCCUAGAGGGAAUGCAUGGUGCCUGAUCCGAAGGCCAGAUGCCUGCAAUCCUAAUAUGAAUAUAAUCAAACACCAACAAGCAGUAACCCUAAAUACUCACAAUCUGGAGCCUAAAAGAGCCGCGAAUUUUGAAAUUUCAGAAAGGCAAACAGCAGAAAUCCAAUGUUGACAUCCAACUUCAAGGCUAUGCCUUUGCUUUCUUUAUCAGCAAAAUUUUAAGUCAAUUUUGACAACAAUACGGUUCAACGCACAGAUAAGAACUAUUGUCACCAAAAUAAGUUUGUUUAACAACAUGAUUCUAUCAGCUGAUAAUUCUCUUUCUUGUUAUUACAUUAGUCUAGUCAUGAUUUGCAAAGCAUUUUGCAAAUAUACAAAUAUCAGAACUCAUGAGAGAUAAAGCACAAACCUGUUGCUGAAGCGAAAGGGUGGCAGUAGGGCAAAUGGCCUGGAAUGCUUCCAGACUUGGCUGUUGAGAGUUGUAGAGAUCUUGGGUCAGACGUGUAGUGCCUGCUAGAAAUUUUGAACCAGAAGGAAAAUCCAAGCGUGCAUAAAAUCGGGUAAGAUCCAGGAAUAGCCUUUGAAAAUUUCCAUGCUGCGCUGUAAAUGCCACGGAUGCAAAUAUAUCUGCUACAAGAGCAGACUUUACCCUAGGAAGAUGAAGCUUGAAACCUUUAAAACCAUGCGAUUCAUCUUCGACUUGCACCCUAACUGAAUUAUCUCCGAGACAAGCAGUCCCCGCAGCACCUAUAGGUGUGAAAAGAUGGACCCAAUUUGUAAAGUAUAAACAAAUAAGAAUUGGAAUAUCAUGGAAGUGAUGAAUCUAUUUGAAAUCUGACAAUGGAGAAUGGUGGUAACGAUGGUCAGUCUCAGAGUUCAGAAUGCUAUAACAGCUGACAAAAUGGUCAGGAGCAAAUGAUUGUAACAACUAGGAAACCCCAAGCUGAUUGAUGAUUUGAUUACCAAGCAGUCGCACAAGUUCAACCCACAUACUAGACACUCUGCUAUUACAAGACAAAGGUUACAAAUUGGCAUAUUCCAAAGAAAAAACUGGGAUCACAAGUGCUGUGCAAAGGCAACACAAGAAAUAUAGGACCCUCAAUCAUGAAAACUUUUAAGCCACCUAAGUAAAUGAGUGGUUCAUUGCUUGAUGACCACUUGCAUGAUAUAGUCUACAGACAAGUAAUGAGGGUCGUAGUCCCUUGAUAUUGCACAAAGCUCAAAAGCAUUUCCAGUGGUUUCGAAUUACAAAACAAAUGAGCAGGCACCUAGAGUAAAUAGUUCCACCUUGAUCUAUUUAGAGAUAAAGUUGGGAAAGUGAGGAGGCUAUAUCUCACCAAUAAUUCCUGAAAAUGAAAUGUGAGGAUUAGACAGGAAUAUGUCAAAUGGUUGCACCAUCUUCAACUUCUGUGCUUUACUUCUCCACAGAUCAAUAUUCUUCUUAAGUGCAAAAGCACCUUUGGCACACAAGCCCGGAAGCAGGGUAGCAGGUACUUCAUGGGUCUGAUUGCCAUCAAACUGCUUGGGUGUCCCCGUGUUAUGGUGCACAGACAAAUGAUAACUAGCACCAGAGUCAGAAGCUACAGAAGCUAGAUCAAUUGCCAUUGACAAUGGCACAUCCCAAUAAGUACCAAAUUUGUCAACAAAAAGGCCUGGCCAAACUGCCUCCACCAUUAAAUUGUGAUUGGGAAACUGCAAGCACAAUCAAAUAGAUGCCAAACAAGCUAUUCUUAAAGGCAUAUAUCCUCAUCAAGACUACGAAAAUGAUACAAUUGGAGCAGUUAUGCACAUUUACCUUGUGAAGAAAGACGGCUUUCUUUCGAGGAACCUUCUUAUCACCAUAUGCUUCUAAGCUAACAAGAAGGGUAUCAUCAGGUGUUAUCAGGAGCUCCGAGGACAAACCAAGGGCAUACAAUGAUUUAUCUGAGAAACGCCUUCCAAUGCCUUGCAGCCAGGAUGAUUCAGAGGGUUGCAGCAAUCUACCCUCUUUAACAGAAGACACAAACUUCUGAAAAUUGAACUGACCCAGCAAAGAGGCAAACCUGCAUGACUUCAAACCCAACUAUGUUGAUCUUGUGGCGGGUGCGAGGUUUACAAUGGAGUACAAAAAUUAAGAGGCGAAUUGAAAGAAAAUACAUACCAAUUCUCAGUGAAGGGGAAGGUGAAACCGCGUUGAAGGGAGAAGCCGUGAGUGGAAAUGGAGGAAGAGGGGACAAAAGGCAUGGACAUGAAGCGCUGGAAGAAAUCAAUCUGCAUGGGUCUGGAAAGCCUGGUGCCUCUAGACAACCCUAAAGGUAGAGGGUCAUCUGGAACAGCUCUGGCCACUCCAUCGAGAGUGGUGGCCGUCGACAUAUCCAAUUCCCAAAACCCACCGUCCAUUGCCCAUCUCAACUUCUUCAUCUUCCCACAACUCUAACCAUCAACAGUUGCAGGCUUCGGAGAGUGCAAUGCCUUUUGCUGAAAGAAAUCACAUUCUGGAAUUACGAUAAGAGAAAGAAGUAGAAGUGCCGGGGGUUUCAGGGUUAGGGUUUACCUGGCUGUGGAUAAAACUCCCGUCUUUCUCCCUUUCUUCCAAAGCAAAGCAUCAGAGGAGCCCUAUUUUUAACUUAUUUUUAUCCACAUUUUAUUCGAUUAAAUUUAAACUUAUUUUUAUUUUUCUUCAACUUUUCUCUUUUUUUUUUUUCUUCCUUCGUCAUUUUUUGUCCCAACUUCUUUUCAAACCUUUCAACAGAAGCGAGGGAUUAAAAAUAUGUUUAACAGAUUUUAAAGCACGUUUUUAAUCAUUUUAAUAUUUUAUAAAAUUACUAUAAAUUUAAAAAUAAAAAAUUUGAAAUCAAUUCAUUCUUUUUUAUUAAUGUCUUUGAAUUAUUUUUAAUAAAAAAUAAAAUAAAAAUAUAUCAUCUCAUCUUUAUCAGGGUUUUGACUACUUUCUUGAUUAUAUUUUCAUUGCUAUUCCUACAUACCGAACAGAGUCUAUUUCUAUUCCCACUCCAAGUUGACUGAAUGAGAAAUGAUGUUGAUGAGUGAGGCAGCUUCCUGUUGCCUGUAAGGUUGAAAUGUUGUUGCAGAAUGCAAAUCCUUUAUCGAAGAGUUCGGAAUGUACACCAGAAUUGAAUCUCACUCCAGUCCCACUGAAGGUUGCUCAUUACUAGUUCAUGUUCAUCUUCCUUGCUUUGUAUGAAGCAGCAGAGCUUCUGGGUCAGGUAAGUUAAUAUACAGUACUGUUCCAAAAUCAUUAGCAGCAACAGCAUUUAGGAAACACUCAGAUACUUUAUUAAUCAUAUACUUUAGAGAACAUAUACAUGAUGUUAUUUCCAUGUAACAGGAGCUUUUCCAUCACAUUGAUCAAGAACAAAAUCCAUACCCCAUAUGCUCACUCUUUUAUUCCCUCAAACUUUUUUUUUUUGGGCAUUUUACAGAUCAAUGUCUUAAAAUCCCAUGCCUGCUGUAAUGUCAAUGACCAUCAUUGCUAUCAGCAAAUUUAACAGGAUGAUCUUCUGGUUUAACUCUGGUCUUUAACAUCAGUCCAUUAAAUUGUGACUGGUACCAAGAGUAUGAAUCAUGAGCGAGAGUCUACACCAGGAAACAAAAUAUAAAGUAUAAGUUAGAAUGAGAAGAGGAUGUAGUUAAAGAGACAGAAACAGCAUGAUGCAGAGAAGGGAAACUAUGGAGUGCUGCUUUACUGCCUACAUGAGAGCAAGACAUUACUUUUGAAUGAUUAUUCGAAUGAUAUAAUCACGCCCUUUGUCCUUGUCGUGACCUACCUAUUUAUGCAAUAUAAUGGGGGUAAAAACAAGACAGAAAAUAUGAUGCAGAAAGCCAUAAUACUCUGAAUACCUGUUCCUGUGAGUGAAAAUACAUAAAGGGUGUAUAAUGUAGGAAAUUUGAGACCCUAGAGGUGUAAAUAUCAGCAUACCUGCAAUUGGAAGAUAUUGUAAGGAUCAUAUAAAGGUAGAACCCUUAGUUUAUGAAGUUUAGUUACUCCUACAUAAGAAAAAAAGAAGGCAUAAUGAAGGAAAAGCACAUACUUUUCAAUUUGUCUCAUCAAGUGACUUUUAUCCCAAAGACCCGCACGUGAAAGAAAGCCCCACCUAACAUGAGAGGGUUUCAUCAGGUCAAUUUCAUGAAUUCAUAUGCAGGGAACAUAAGACAUUCACACACAUAACUAACCCAAACACCUCAAAUCAUAAAAACUUCAUUUAGGCAAUAGCAAAUGAUGUAAAAGUUUCACUUCUUUUCCUUUUUUGGAGAAUCUAUGAGUAUUUUUAGGUUGCCCGUGUAUAGCCACAGGUUUUUAGGUUACUAAACUUAUAGAGUUUGGAACUGGAUAUAUUUAAGAGGAACAAAUUGUUGUCAACUAUUUCCUGGCUCUAUUUGCUUCGAAGGAAAAACUUUUCCAGGGAUAAUUUUUGCUGCAAAAGAAAAUUAAAAAAGAACUGUAAAGAGAUAUUUUCAACAAAUUAAAUUUUUUUUCCUGCAACUAACCUUCUCUUACCUUUUGCUAAAGUGCUCUCCAUCAGCAUCUAACAUUGGUGCAAUUUUUUCGUCUAAUCUUUGCAUAACAAGAAGUAGCUUCUGCAUGGUCUCAGUGAGUCCUUGAUUAUCCAUAUUAGUUGCAGCAAGAGUCUGAAAAAUAGCAAAAGGCCAUAAAUCACCUAAAAAAGAACUACAUCACUUGUUGGAUGGGUACUGACAAAACCAAAACCCAUCUGGGCAGUGGGUACAGGUAUUACAACUCAAAACAAUUACAAGGGCUUCAAUUGUCUCUGUUUUCUACUUCUUUACUCAUUUUUAGCCAUUUUGGUGAAUCUACCAAUCAGAAGUACAGUUUAAAAAAGAGAAAUAUAAUUCAUCAUCUCAUUAUCUUGACUAAGUUUUCCCUGAGUUGAGUAAAAUUGAGAAAAAAUUUGGAUCAUUCUAUUGGGAGGAGAAUCACAUGUAUAUGCUAUUUCCUAUAGACUACGUAAGUGGUAAGUUCAAACUAUGGAGAGGAGCUUUAAAUCAUUAAGGUUUAGAAUGGUACAAAGAAUAUAUGAAUUGCAAUCAUUUAUUAAACUGUGUAGAAACAGGGGAUGGCAAAUAUUGAUUGUCAAAGGAUACAAGAAAGACCAUUUUCAGUGUCUAGGUACAACUGAACCAUAAGGGUAAGAUUGAAGUUGGCAUUUCCAAUAGAGAAAUUGCAGAUGAAACAAGUGGACCAAUGCUCCGGGACUGUUGUAUCAAGAGAAACAACUAUACUUUAUUUUACAAAAGAUUAGGCAGUUAAAAAAAAGUAAAAAAAGAAAAGAUUUCAUAAAAUGAGCAUGGCUCAAAAGAGGCUGCUAAGAUGGAUGAAUGGAACAAACUAACUAGAAUGAAAAAAGAUGCAUAAACCAAUUUUUACACUGAGUAGUGAUGUGGAUUAAGUGGAGGCACUACAGAAAAGAGUAAGGACAAAAAGAUGAUGGGUUAUGGUUCAAAAAGGAUGCAAUAGCAAGUGAUUUAUCAGAAGAUAUGAUCUUAUAUAGAGCACAGUGGAAAAGGAUGACUUGAAUGGUUGAUCCUAAAUUCUGGUUAAAGGCUUCGCAGAGUUGAGUUAAACUGAGCUACCAUCUCAGGCUAAUGCAUUGUUAAUUGGAAUGAUUCUAGCAACAUAGUGAAUAUGGUCCACUAAGCAUGGAAUCAUAUGUGAGCCUAACUAAAAUAUGGUAAAAAGUAGAGUUCAUAUGAAGAAGCAGGAGAACUUCUCUAUAAAGUGAAAUCGCCUUUAAAAUCAAAUGGUAGUUUCACAAAAAAAAAAAGGUAAGGAGAACUUUAUAAGUUCCAAUUGGAGAAUGCAAAAUCAUAUAUAAUAAAAAUUACAGGGACAAGUUAUUUGUGUGGAGGGAAGGGAAGAGGGAGGGUAAAAUCACAUACAAGUUUAUCUGUAAAGAAGUAUAAUUGAUUAAAAUUCAGAGGAUAGCUAUGUGAAAGGAAAGUAAAUGAUAACUUUGCAGAUUCCAACUUGGGAUUACAAAAUCAUAUGCUAUAAACAUUACAGGAACAAUUUACUGGUAUGAAAAGAUGGCAAUUCAUUAACAGGAUGUAUAUUAGAUGAACAAGAUGACUAUCUGAAGUGGGAGCAAAAUGAAACGUCAUAAGAGUGAACUGUGUGACUGGACCCAACAAAAACAAUGUGAUACAACCCAAUAAAACUUACUUGAGCAGGCCGCCCCUUGGUUCGCCUUUGCAAAGCAAGUCGAAGUUGGUUAAAUAGAUCUCCUACAACUUCCUUCUGAUUUAUAAGGUCUAUCAGUGUGGCCCGAUGACUGCUACUACGAAUCAAUGCAUUAUACUGCAUUUCCAAAUUAAUAACACAUGAAAAGGGACCAUUUUCAGCAUUUAAUCAGUUGAGAAUGUUAAAAAUAUGAAAGAAAAUAUCAUUUUCAAAUAUAUGGUUUAAGAUUAUCCUGUUAAUUUUUUGGAUAGGCAAUAGAAAUACACACACACACAAAACACAAAAAACAACUCUCUCUAUCAAGAUCCCGCCCAAUCAAUAAAAUCAACUAAAGGCAUUAAGCUUUCUUUAAUGUACAGCCACCCCAAGCUAUAGGUUACUUAGGAACAAACAUUUCAACUUUUGAUCAGACUGGCUCCUGUUUAUAAAACUAUAACGACAGUAUACACAAAUUUUGUGCAUUAUUAUUUGAGGUCAGAAAAUUUCUUUUUCUUUCUCUGUUUCUAGUUUCAGUUCUAAUUGUCAUUAGUAUGUCAUUGAUAAUGAUAACUGUUGGAAUUAAUUGUCAUUAGUAUAUCAUUGAUUAUGAUAACUGUUGUAAGUAAUUCUUCAGUAGUCAAACUCUGGAUUUCCAAAAAAUAUAUUGUAACCCUUGCUUUGAUCAAAGAGAUAGAAUAAAAAGUAAAAUAUAAAAUCUAACCUCUUCUUCAAGUUCUCGACAAAUCAAAGCCGUCCGCCAACGCAGAUGUACUUUUGAUUGGCUUACAUCUGUAUGAAUGUGGUCACCGACAUACAAAAUCUCAUCUCCAUGGAUUUUAAGGGAAUUUUCAAUCAUCUGAGCACUCCCUCCUGAGUAUAAGCCCCCUGCAAAAAAUAUAAGAAGGAUGAAUACACAAAAUAGUUGAACCAUGACAGUUUACAAUUUUAUUUAACAUUUUGCAGAUUAAGUGAUCUCCGGAAAACAGAAUUCUUCAAAACUUGCACAAGACAUUCAUACGUUAUGUGCAUGGAGAGUGGAGAAAUGGUUGAUCGUCCAUUUUUACGUUGUCUAAUGGCUUUGGGGCUAUGGUAUAGACAAUUCAGACAACCUAGUUUGGAUUGAGCUCCACCAAGGAGCAUAUGCAACAUCAUGACCAUCUCAUAUAGGGGUUUGGGGGGCACCACUAGAGGCAUGGUUUUUUAGCAAAUCACUAGUCUCACAUUAAUUUGGUUUGUGUGGGUGCUACCUUCUUUAGUUAGAGAGACUCUCCUUAGUUGACAUGGUUCUUUUGUGGGCAAAAAGCGUAAGAAGGUGUGGAGAGCAACUCCUCUAUACAUCUUUUGGACAGUUUGGAAGACAAGAAAUAGAUUGACCUUCAAUGAUGAUGUGCUUUUGAUCCAGAGACUCAAAUACCAUUUUUCUUUUUUCCCUUGGUCAGAGGCAAAGUUGUUUAUAGCCGAUCGCCCUCUAACAUUAGUUAGUUUUAUUGAUUGGUUGAGUUCUAGUUAAGGUUGUUUUUUGAUUCGACUAGGCGCUUAUUUUCUUGUUCUUUUUGGCCGGUUUGAUAGUGGGUGUAUAGAUAUUGUAUAACUUGAGCCGCUCUUUUGGCGGCUCUUUUCAAUAGAUCUUUUCUUUACCUAUAUAAAAAAAAAUAUUAAUUUGGUUUGUGUGGUAGGAAAGAAACACCAGGAUUUUUUAGGACAAUUGGAGAUGUCAAAGAGUCUUUGAGAUCUAAUUUACUUCUAUUUUCUCUUUUUGGGCUUCUAGCACCAAUGCUUUUAAAAACAUUCCUCUCAAUAUUGUUCAACUCAAUUGGUAUUCGGUGUGUAUAACAAAUGGUUUGGAUAGAAAUGAGAGGAGCUUUGUUUAGGUUGCUUUUGGAAGGAAAUGUGUUCGUCCUUAAGGAGUGAUGAGAUGCUUAUAUUAUAAAUUCUCAUGUGGCACUAAACCAAUGUAUAAGUCUCCUUGUAUAGUGGAUCAGUUUUUGUAAUUUUGUGGAGAAUUCCUCAGCCUCCUCAUGUAUUUUUUAUCCAUCUUUAAUACCUAUUUUGUUUCCGAUAAAAAAAAAAUAAAAAAUUCAUACAGUCUGGCAAGCACAUUCCCAGGAUUCAUCAGUGAAAAAAGGUUUAGGGAGAUCAGAUAAUAGUGGAUGUUUUCCAAGCGAUUGAAAGAAAUGGUCAUCCUUGUAACCUUUAUAGGAAAUGCUCUAGACCAAUGAUCGAAUACUCAUUUUUUUUUUUUUCGUAUAUCUACUAAGAAGGGCACAAAUAUCUUCAAAAAUAUUCAUCUGCUUUAUUUCUUAAUUAAUAGUGACUAAUAAAUUCCUGAGGAUAAACUCAAUCCAGAGAACAAUUUUUAUUUUUAUUUUUUGGAAAAAAGAAGAAGAAGAAAGGAUAAGGACAAGAGCCUUAUAAUAAAAGAGAUUAUCUGCCUCAACAUGCCAGGUUACACAUAACCUGGCAUGUUGAGGCAAAUAAUCUCUUUAAUAGUACAGAAACUCAAAAAUUCUUUUGUAUGUAACUUGUGAAGUUGGGCUAGAUUGUAUAUUGGAGAGGAGUCCUCUUCACUUAUAAGUUUUUUGGAGUGGUUGGCAUCCACUUAAGGGCUGGUGAGGUUUUUUGUUUCAAAUCUAGCUCUUAGAGGUUUAGGCUUCCUUGUAUACAUCCUGUAUGCUUUGUGGCUGUUUGGCUUUUGAUAAUAUACUUCAUGUUAUUUAUCAAAAAAAAAAAAAAAAAUGUCAGGAUACACAUGCGCCUCUUAUUGACAACCAAAACUGACAGAUCAAACAAGUGACCACAAGAAAGUAAUCAUUUUGACUUAUCUGCCUCAUAAUCAGGAUAUAAAGUGCAACAAUUUAGGAAGAACAAGGUACAAUGAUGACAAAUCACCUGUACAAGCCUUGAAGCAUGGACGCAUUAGACCCUCAUCUGUCACCACCUCAUACAAUGGGUGUGACAUUUGGAAGAACUCUGGCUUCCUCGCAGAGACUAUAACCUACACAAGAACAACGUGAACACAUGAAGGCAACAAAACUGCCAGAAGUGCAAAGCACAUGUGACUCCUACAUUGUUUAGGCAUUCUUUAUAAUUUAGCCAGAAAAAAAAAAGGGAAAAGAAAAGAAGAGAAGAGAAGAGAAUCGUUUCAUUGUGUAUCAAGGAAAAUGUUUGGAUUCUUUCUUGUCACAAACAUCAGGACGAUAACAUCUUGUUCUCAGUUUUCCUGGACAAGAAAGCAUCUUAAGCCCAAGCUUAUUCUACAGGGACUUGAGUCACUUGGAUGAAGGGGCAAACGAAUGCUAAUCAAUUAAACAGUGUGGAAUACAGUAAAAAGGAUGAGUUGAGGUCUAGUCACCAUGUCAAAUAGAUCUCGCCAGCCCAUAUCAUUUGGAAGGAAUUUGUUAAAGGAAUGCUGCAUCAUUUUGUCUGUAUAAUGAUAAUCUGAGUUGGUAAUAAGCAAAAGCUUUUUGCCAGCCUGAUAGAAAAGAAUAUCCAAGUGAAUAAGGAGAUCUUACAACAAUUUCACCUGUCACAAAGACUAGAAGAGUUAUAAGCAUACCUCUUUUUGAUCCAAGAGUGCCAAAGGCAUCUCCGGAUCAGGCUCAACAAACAAUUCAGGCUUGGACAUUAUCUCAUGCUGUAUGGAUGCCAUCAAUCAGUUGAUUCUUGUGAACCACAACAUUUAACAUUAGAAAAGAAAAUUACUCAAUGGCAAUAUUUACCUUAAGUUGGCCUUCUACAUGUGCCUUGAAGAGGGCCUUUCCAACAGCCUGAAAACCAUAUCAAGAAUGAAAAUAAGGAAGAAAUUCGCAUAUACCUAAGCGACCAUUUCAAAUGAUAGCCUUGUAAAGUCUGCAGCAUAUUAAGAAUUAAAAAAGGAAAAAAUCUGCAACAUAUUGCCUUGUAAAGUCCUUUAUAAUGAAGUGGAGCAAUUUCUGCAGAUAUAGCUCCUUCAUCUAAUCUGUCCACCAUCUGAAAGUGAAAUAUAAGGCAUUAAUGAACAUAAAUUUUCCAUUGUUUACACAAGGAAAAUACAAAAACAUGAUAGACAGUUAGAACCACAAUUCAAUAUGCCUCUAAUGGAGAUGUAAAAAUAUAAAAAGUUUUAUGAUACACACAUGAUAUAUUUAUAGUUUGAAAGGAGGUAGGGAUCUAAGCAGAGAUAUAUUAGUAUCUGUCAUUCUGUAAAGUUAUAGUUUGUCAUUUUGAGAGAGAUAAACUUUCUAGAAUGAUGUUUGGAAUCUAAAGGCUUCUGGAUAAGCAUGAUCGAGACAAAUAGUUGGAAUGACAGCUAGCUAAAAACUAGAAGAAUGAGGCCAGGAUAAACCCAAAAAGUGACUCUUUCCCCAAUUUAGAUUGAUUAUCCAUGAUGAGUGGGAGAGAGAAAUGAUGUAGCCUAUAGUGUUAGUGCAGGAUAAAUGAAGUAGGGUUAACAGUCAAACUAAGAGAACUGAUAUGUGCUUUAUGGUGUAGAAUCCUAGGCAGUAAAGAAAAACAUCCAUAAGAUGCCCAACUUGAAUGAGAGUGUUGAGAUGAUUGGAUGACCCAAAAAAUAGUAAGAAACAAAUUCAAAUGCAGGAAUUCAGAGGCGCUACUGACUUGACAAGGUGAGAGAAGACAUCUAAGAUGGUUAAGCCUAUUUGGUCAUGUGUGAUGAAGACCAGUUGCUCCACUAUUAAGGAGUGAUUUAAUUCAGAUUGAAGGUGUUACAAGGAGAAAAGGUAAGGAAGAAUAUAGGUCAAGGCUAUAGAAAAGUCACAAUACUCCAUGAUUUUACAUGGUAUAUAGCUUAGAUAGAGCUAAAUGCACAUUUGACAUAUUUCCAAAUUUUGACAGUGUUUCAAGAUCUUUCCUCCUAGUUUCCUCUCAGGAACUCUUGUAGGGAGCAGUUGUUCACUUUCUUCUUCGUGUGGGAGCUUUUUCUCUUUCGCUUUGAAGGACUCCCCAUCCUCCUUGGUUGUAUUUCUUUCUUGUAAUAUUUUUUUAUGCAGCUUCUUAUCAAUAAAAAAUGACAAGAAAUAAGUAAUUUAUUUUUUUUUUUUCAAAUGCAGAACUAAGACUUGUACUUAUAUAUCUUCAAGAUGGAUUAAAGUAUGAUGUUACAUGAGUUAUAUGUUCAAAUAGUGGCUUAGAAUAAAACAAAAACCUACCUGCAUAAAAGCCACUGCUUCUGAAACAGAGAAUAGUGUAUUGAGGAAUACCCAUCGACUUUCGUUUCGCAGAUCCACCAGUUCCCUCCCAUACAUCUCACUGCCAUGCAUAGAAAGUUAACAGGCACUCUAGAAAAUAUUACCCUAGUCUUGCUACAAUUAGCAAAUCAAAUUACAAACAUCGGGAAAAUCUAGGGUACACAUUAACCAGGUGGUACAGACAAGUCUAUCAGGUCAAAGCAGGAAAUAUGUUGCACAUACAGGAAAGUAUAUCAUAUAUGCAACAUUUGGCUGCAUCGCCUUAUUAACACAUUGGGCUAAAAUAAAACCCAAAUGGAUGAUUUCUUGGCCUUUUUCUUUGUGGCCAAAGCAUUUGGAUCAUUCUUUCAUGCCUGCCUUUUUCUGAGGACAUCAUACAGCUAGCAUCCUUAUCAAAGGAGUGAUUUUCGCUUUGCAUGUCCGCUAUGUGACACACUACUGUUCUUGUCUUUGACAGAAUGGACAACUCAGAUAUAUGAAUAAUCACAAUGAUAAAGCUUAAAACAUACGUUACAGCUCGAGUACUUAGCAUUGUUGUACCAUGCAUAGCCCUUUUUACAUAGCCAAAUCUGUCAGGCUUAACCAAGUUUCCUUUCUCUUUGUCUAUUACAAGGCCUCUAAUAACCUACACAAAACAAUCAAACAGAAUGCACUCAAAAACAUGAAAGAGAAUACAAAUUCAAUAAAUUUAAGAAUGGUGUCACAAUUUAAAGUUCUCUAGUUGCACAGAUAAAGAUUUCACCAAGUUUGGGUCAAAUGCAAGUCCAUCCACAGGAAACCCCAUGUUCCUUAGGUUGUCCAUACAAUAUUCAUACGCCCGUCCUUCCCAAGCCUGCACCAGGGGCAUAAACCUAUGUCAAUAAUCUCACCAGUUCAAAUGGACAAAGGAACUCCUUUUUCAAUUAUCCAUGAAGCUAAACCAAGCAGAUAGGAGAUACAAAUGCAUGAGGGAGUGUAAUUUUAUUUGGUAGGCGCUAUCCUAUUACUAUAUGUUCUAUUUGCCAAAAAAAAAAAUGCAUGGAGGAGAAUAAUGUUAUUAAAAUUAAAAAUUACCAGCCAGUAGCCAGAAACAUGUUUUUUUUUUAUAAAAAAACUAGGCAGCCAGAAACCUGUAAGCUUCAUGAUACUGCUUUAACAAAUAGACACUUGAUGCACACAACAAGGAAAGAAGGAUAUCAGAAACAAAGGUUUAAAAUAAAUAGACAUACUGAGAAAAAUUAGAACUGAGUGGUCCGACCUAGAUUAUUUUUUGAUAGGCAAAAUUGAUAUUAUUGAAAAGUGCCUAACAAAAGGGGAUGCAUUCUUUGUACACAGGAAAGUGGUCCAACCUAGAUUUCUUGUGCUGUUUUAACAAUAAUUUGCCAUAAAACUUUAUUUGGAAAAAUCAAAACGCAGUUCCUACAGAAUGUUGUCAAUAUAAUAUAAUGGCAGAAAAGAUGCCCAAGAUAUUCAUCAACUAAGGUGUAGAUAUUUUUUCCAAUGAAACAUAAACAUGAAAAAUAUGCAGAAUAUAGACCAACAACCGAAAAAGUUAUAUAUUCACUUCAGAAAUCCUCAACAUUACAAAAUUGAUCCAGCUAGACAAUCCAAAAUUCCAAUCAAUGUUUUUAUGAAACUGCUAGUUUCUUGUCAAUUUAAAAAAAAAAAAAGUGAUAAACCGAGAGUGACCAACUUGACUUUGAGAACUUAGGUGGAACCCAAUAAAGAGGGUGAAAAGACUGCUCCAUAAUAAGAACAUGGACAACAGAUGCCUAUACUUCCUCAAGAGUUGGUUCAACUUGGCAUUUGCAUGUUUCAGAUGUUAUCCUGCUCACUCCAAGGGGUUUUAUGUUAUUUUAGUUUUAGUUUCUUUUGCUUCUUUUUUCUUUCUUCUUCUUCUUUAUAUUUUCCCAUCGUAUAGGCAGAAAACAAAAAAAUUGCAAGUUAUGUGCAUAAUCUACCCCCUUCAUAUCUACUUAUGCAACUAAUGCACAGUGGCAACAACUAGACACAAACUGAAGCCCUAGAAAAAAUGCUAAAACCUCAAAGUUAAAUCAGGGUUCGCAACUAGCACCAUGUCUGGUAUUAUAGGAAGACGUUUUUUGGCAAGAAAUUAGGCCCAGUUGGUCAGAUCUGUCUCUUGGAUAAGUAGUCAUGUAUUCAAACAGUUAUUGAUCCAUAGAUUUUUAAUUGUUCAUUGGUUCACAAAAUAGGCUUAACAGAAACUAAGGAGCUUUGCAGCCUAUCUGCACCUAGCAUAUACCAUACUUCACUCUAAAGCCACAAGCCUCCUCAUGACAUACAAUUGCAGGUUCAGAGCAAUUUUGCCAACAAUCACUGAACAUAAAUAAUGUAAUUUGUGGCAUAGCAUAUGCCUUGGACAAGUGUCUUUACAAGGUUCUAGAGUAACUCUCCUCCUGGUCUCUAAACAGAUCAUGCCCCCUGGGUGGAGUCAGGAUAUGCACCUUGGUGAGAUUUUCCCUUAUGGUAUUUGUGAUGUUUGCUAAAUAUUGUAUACUUUUUAGUUUGGGUUUGAGUUAUCUCUAAAAAUCCAAAGCCCCUCUUAACAUAAUACAAAAACAAGUUGACGUUACCAUCACAUUAUAGUGCAUCAAGGUGUAGUCCAUGUCAUAUCCAAUGGCACUGAUUGACCGAAGAUUCAAUGUACGGCUACAAAAUAUGCCACGUGGUGAAUAUCUUGAUGAAAAAGGACCCUGCAUAUCAGAAAAUGCUGUGAGAUUGAUGGAAAGCAAUUAUGCACAAUAAGAUAACUCUGCAGCCCCUGUUACCAUUGAAUGGUUGUGCUCCAAGUCCUAAACUAGGGUUGUAGCUACAGUAGCUAGUUUUUAUUCUUCACUUGUACACUUCUAGAAUACGGUGUUCACCACAUUAGUUUGGCAAUUUUUUUCUAUAUAUAGACACAUCCUUAUUUGCCUAUCAAAAAUAAACACUGCUACAUAUUUUUUUUAACUUUUUUGCUUUACCUUACCAUUUUUAACCUUUUUUCCUUUCAUGACCUUUUAAACUCUCUAUAGCUAGACUCAAAUUUAAACCUUAUCAUACUCUUGUCUGUUCUAGAAGUCCUUGAUCAAACAAGCAUUUUACAGAGAGCCAACAAGGAGUUCCAUUAAAAACUGGCUGUUAGUUCUUGAAUCUCUCUUUGGCUGAUCAAUGUGUGAUAUUUCAAAUCCUCAUUACGGAAAGGCAGUGACUUACAACCCACUGCUAUCUAGAGUAGCUAGGUGGAGAAGUAAAAUUAAUCCUUGUUCCUACAUGGGCUUCUUGAAAUUGGAAGAAUCGGAAGAGAAGGCAGUGACUUACAACCCACUGCUAUCUUCCAUACUCCUCCAAUGUGGAUAUAGAUUGUGACCUUUUGAUCCAAAUUCAAGUUGAUGAAAGCGUUUGUCAUUUUCAUUCUUCUCUUAUUCAUUUCCAAUAGUUUGCUCUUCUUAAGACACAACAUAUUUGAAUUUUAUGUUGGUGACAUGUUUUACAAAUUUGUAACAAAUAUUCUACUUAGCUUAUGCAAGUAAAUAUGAUGCAUGACACCAACAUAAAAUUCAAAUAGCUGUGCCAUUGGCUAUGGUUGACAUGGUGACGUUGGCUGUGGAGAUACAUCUGCAGAGGCGGUGUGGUGUAAGGAAAAGCAAACAUUUUGCUUCCUAAUUAAGAAAUGUCUUGCUUCAAUCCAUUUUUCUUACUUACAAUUUCUACCUUCUGUUAAAGAAUAAAGAUCUUUUUUUUUUUUUUUUUUUUCAUUUUUUGCUUCCAAAAUGUCUUUCUAUUGGUGACAAUUUGGCUAGCUGUGCCACUGGCUGGGGUUGACAUAGUAGCACUGGCUGUGGAGAAAUAUCAGCAGAGGUGAUAUGAUGUAGGGAAAAGCAAAUGUUUUGGUUCCUAAGUAAUGUCUUACUCUAAUUUUUUUUUCUUACUUACAAUUUCUAGCUUUUGUUAAAGAAAAAAGUUCUUUUUUUUUUUUUUUUCCUUUUUUGCUUCCAAAAUGUCUUUCCAAAUACCAUUAAAAAGGAAAAAAAAUGCCUUCUUCUGAUUAGUUGCUUCCAAAGACGAGAAUUAUUUCCAAGAUGCCAUCCAAAUUGUUCUUUGCACAUUCCUUUUGACAACAACAUUAAUACUUUUCUUUUUAUGCUAUGGUAGCCUUUGCAUUACUCUAGUCAUUUUUCUGAUGAGCAAGCAAAAAAGACAUAUUAUUAGCACCUAUCAAAAAGGCAUGCAAACCUACUGCAUUGCUCUACUCAUGUAAUGAAGCAUUUGUUGUCAGGCAAUGAUCCCAUUAAGAAAUCAAGAAUCUGAAAAGUAUAUGGUUAGGUUUUGAUGUUAUUUUUGUCUCAUAACUGAAAAACCUCUUCAAGAAAUUCCACAUCAUGAAUUUAUUUUAUACUUUAUUUCUAGACUCUACUUUUUCUUAAAUAGAUGGAUUCACAAGAAAAUUUGAAUCAGAAAUAUGGAUAUGCAACUAUGUCACCUGUUUUGCUUUUCUAUCCUUUUUAAUGAAUCAAAAGAUGUUGGAUUUGCUUUGUUUUGUUUGUUUGCUUAAUAGGUCCUAUGCUAGUAUGUCUACUGCAGUUUCUUCGUGUGACAUGCUUAUUUUCCUAUUUUGUUUUUCAAGAGUUAGUGUCCUAUUGCUUCUAAGGUACAUUUACACAAGACAAGCCUAAUCUUUAAUUAUGCUUUAAAACUUCCAACAAAUUUGAGGAUAUGCAAUGGAAUAGAAUGUAGAAUAUAGAGUAAUAAAGCUUCAUAUAAAAGAAAAUAGUAUCAUCUUCACACAAUAGGAUUUUUUAUUUGUAGGAUUUUCAAAUUUUCUUUUGAUUUGUAGCAAUUUAUUUGCAAAAAGUUUUAGUAUUUUUUAUGCAUGAAACUGUUAUAUUUUCCUAAUCACAUUGAGGUCCUUCAUCUAGAUUGAUUACAUUUUGAAUGAAUUUGUCUUGUUUUAUGUGAAGCAAAUCGUUUUCGCUCAAAACAAUAAA